This 253-nucleotide ribosomal RNA is filed under the name uncultured bacterium. Its description in RNAcentral is "partial 16S ribosomal RNA". It matches the Rfam family "Bacterial small subunit ribosomal RNA", at positions 524 to 776 of the family's 1533-position model. The record is from RNAcentral.
UACGAAGGGGGCUAGCGUUGUUCGGAAUCACUGGGCGUAAAUGGUGCGCAGGCGGAUUUUUAAGUCAGGGGUGAAAUCCCGAGGCUCAACCUCGGAACUGCCUUUGAUACUGGGGAUCUUGAGUCCGGAAGAGGUGAGUGGAACUGCGAGUGUAGAGGUGAAAUUCGUAGAUAUUCGCAAGAACACCGGUGGCGAAGGCGGCUCACUGGUCCGGAACUGACACUGAGGCACGAGAGCGUGGGGAGCGAACCGG